UUUUACAUAGUUUAUUAAAACCUUAUAUUUUCACUAUAAAAAUGAGUUAUACUCUGUAAAUA
Molecule: transfer RNA, 62 nt
Filed under: Chilotomina oberthuri
Lineage: Eukaryota; Metazoa; Arthropoda; Insecta; Coleoptera; Chrysomelidae
Description: tRNA-Glu
Source: RNAcentral